GAUGAACGCUGGCGGCGUGCCUAAUACAUGCAAGUCGAGCGAACAGACGAGUAGCUUGCUCCUCUGACGUUAGCGGCGGACGGGUGAUUAACACUUGGAUAACCUACCUAUAAGACUGGGAUAACUUCGGGAAACCGUAGCUAAUACCGGAUAAUAUAUUGAACCGCAUGGUUCAGUAGUGAAAGACGGUCCUGCUGUCACUUAUAGAUGGAUCCGCGCCGCAUUAGCUAGUUGGUAAGGUAACGGCUUACCAAGGCAACGAUGCAUAGCCGACCUGAGAGGGUGAUCGGCCACACUGGAACUGAGACACGGUCCAGACUCCUACGGGAGGCAGCAGUAGGGAAUCUUCCGCAAUGGGCGAAAGCCUGACGGAGCAACGCCGCGUGAGUGAUGAAGGUCUUCGGAUCGUAAAACUCUGUUAUUAGGGAAGAACAAAUGUGUAAGUAACUAUGCACGUCUUGACGGUACCUAAUCAGAAAGCCACGGCUAACUACGUG
This 497-nucleotide ribosomal RNA is filed under the name uncultured bacterium. RNAcentral describes it as "partial 16S ribosomal RNA". It matches the Rfam family "Bacterial small subunit ribosomal RNA", at positions 28 to 507 of the family's 1533-position model. The record is from RNAcentral.